Molecule: long non-coding RNA, 1551 nt
Organism: Panicum hallii
Lineage: Eukaryota; Viridiplantae; Streptophyta; Magnoliopsida; Poales; Poaceae
Exons: 2
Source: RefSeq, a predicted model, not a curated record
ACUCGCGUCCGUCCACCUGCCUCCGCCUCCCCGUUAUCCUUGCGGAAAAAAAAAACGAAUCCAUCUUCUUCCUCCCGCCGUCCGCCAUCGACUCCUUCCAUCCUCCCACCCCACGCCGCCCCGCCGGCGAGCACCGCCCUCUCUCCUCCUUCCCCUCCCCCUCCCCCUCCCAUUCAUUCUCUUCCCUUUGGCCAAAUCUGCAUGGGUGCUCACGCCCCGCCGCCAGCUCCCACAUCGCCAGCAUCGCCUGGACCGCCCUUUCCUCCCCUCCCCCACCCCGUCUGCCUCCACCAGUUGCCCCCUGCUGGCACCGCCCAACCGGCCUCCCCUACCACCCGCCCGGCGGCGCCGCCCACAACCCACCGCUGCCGCCGGUCCGGCGGCCUCUCCGGCCAUCCCUUAGACCCAGCAUCUAUUAAUCCCAUCCCCCAACCUAAAACCUCCAAAUCCUAACCCUAACCCCCUCCCGCGCGCCUUAUCCACUCGCGUCCGUCCACCUGCCUCCGCCUCCCCAUUAUCCUCGCGGAAAAAAAAACGGAUCCAUCUUUUUCCUCCCGCCGUCCGCCAUCGACUCCUUCCAUCCUCCCACCCCGCGCCGCCCCGCCGGCGAGCACUGCCCUCUCUCCCCCUUCCCCUUCCCCUUCCCCUCCCCUUCAUUCUCUUCCCUUUGGCCAAAUCUGCAUGGGUGCUCGCGCCCCGCCCCGCCGCCAGCUCCCACAUCGCCGGCAUCGCUUGGACCGCCCUCUCCUCUCCUCCCCCUCCCCCUCCCCUCCCCCACCCCGUCUGCCUCCACCAGUUGCCCCCGCUGCCGGCACCGUCCAACCGGCCUACCCUACCACCCGCCUGGUGGCGCCGCCCACAACCCACUGCCGCCGCCGGUCCGGCGGCCUCCCCGGCCAUCCCUUUAGACCCAGCAUCUAUUAAUCCCAUCCCCCAACCCGAAACCUCCAAAUCCUAACCCUAACCCGAACGGAGCUCGCCGGAGAAGACGAUGUGCCUGCGGGAGGAGGACGGGGUCGUCAGAGAAUAAAGGUGCUUGCUGGAGAAGGUGUGGUUCAAUAUUUUGCAAACAUUCGGCCUAUAGGAAUUAGCUCCACAACCUGAAGAUUGCUCCUUGGAUGACUGGUGGGAGAAGGUGAGCAGCAAGGCUGAUGGCCAGGUUAAAAAGGGGCUCAACUCAAUUAUAAUCUUGGUGGCAUGGUCGCUCUGGAAUCAUCGCAACCGGUGUGUGUUUGACGGACUGUAGCCUAACCUGAAUGGUACUGUGUCCACCAUUAGGGAUGAGCUGCAUUUGUGGGAUGUUGCUGGGGCUCGAGGAAUUGCCCACCUCCUCGCCCUGCUACCUGCUGGUUAGGCUUAGAGGCCUGUUUUUUUUUUUUUGUUCCAGUUGUUGUCAUACUUGUAAGUUAUAGAGUGGUGAGUGUGGUGUGGGGUUUUUUCAGAUUUUCCCUCUAAAAUCUAUGUAAUGGUUACUGGGUGCAUCACCCUUCUUCUUAAUAUAUAGAUACGCGUGUUUGAGAAAAAAAAAGUAACAAAAGGUCUCUCCAGAUA